RNAcentral lists this ribosomal RNA (515 nucleotides) under uncultured bacterium. RNAcentral describes it as "bacterial SSU rRNA". It matches the Rfam family "Bacterial small subunit ribosomal RNA", at positions 296 to 827 of the family's 1533-position model. The record is from RNAcentral.
GAGGAUGAACGGCCACAAUGGAACUGAGACACGGUCCAUACUCCUACGGGAGGCAGCAGUGGGGAAUAUUGCACAAUGGGGGAAACCCUGAUGCAGCAACGCCGCGUGAGUGAAGAAGGUUUUCGGAUUGUAAAGCUCUGUUAGCAGGGAAGAGGAAGGACGGUACCUGCAGAGGAAGCCACGGCUAACUACGUGCCAGCAGCCGCGGUAAUACGUAGGUGGCAAGCGUUGUUCGGAAUAACUGGGCGUAAAGGAUGCGUAGGCGGUUGAGUAAGUUAUGUGUUAAAUAUAUAGGCUUAACCUGUAGAAAGCACAUAAAACUGUUUAACUAGAGUGCAGGAGAGGUAAGUGGAAUUCCUAGUGUAGCGGUGAAAUGCGUAGAGAUUAGGAAGAACACCAGUGGCGAAGGCGACUUACUGGACUGUAACUGACGCUGAGGCAUGAGAGCAUGGGGAGCAAACAGGAUUAGAUACCCUGGUAGUCCAUGCUGUAAACGAUGGGUACUAGGUGUGGGU